UACGGAGGAUCCAAGCGUUAUCCGGAUUUAUUGGGUUUAAAGGGUGCGUAGGUGGAUUGAUAAGUCAGCGGUGAAAGUUUGCAGCUUAACUGUAAAAUUGCCGUUGAAACUGUCAGUCUUGAGUGCAAAUGAGGUAGGCGGAAUGUGUUGUGUAGCGGUGAAAUGCUUAGAUAUAACACAGAACUCCGAUUGCGAAGGCAGCUUACUGGGAUGCAACUGACACUGAUGCACGAAAGCGUGGGGAUCAAACAGG
Molecule: ribosomal RNA, 253 nt
Filed under: uncultured bacterium
Lineage: Bacteria
Description: partial 16S ribosomal RNA
Rfam family: Bacterial small subunit ribosomal RNA
Source: RNAcentral